GAUGAAGAACGUAGCGAAAUGCGAUAAGUAAUGUGAAUUGCAGAAUUCAGUGAACCAUCGAAUCUUUGAACGCACAUUGCGCCCGCUCGAACUCCGGCGGGCACGCCUGUCCGAGCGUCAUUUCAACCCUCAGGCCCCCCUUCGCGGGCGGGCCUGGUGUUGGGGCCCGGCCGCUACCCUGCGGCCGUCCCCUAAAUUCAGUGGCGGCCUCGCCGUGAUCCCUUGCGUAGUAAUGCACCUCGCACCGGAGAGCGCCGUGGCCACGCCGUAAAACCCCCAAUUUUCAAUGGUUGACCUCGGAUCAGGUGGGAAUACCCGCUGAACUUAAGCAUAUCAAUAAGCGGAGGA
RNAcentral lists this unclassified non-coding RNA (348 nucleotides) under soil metagenome. Its description in RNAcentral is "partial contains 5.8S ribosomal RNA, internal transcribed spacer 2, and large subunit ribosomal RNA". The stretch from base 1 to 120 matches the Rfam family "5.8S ribosomal RNA", at positions 35 to 154 of the family's 154-position model. The record is from RNAcentral.